GAUGAACGCUGGCGGCGUGCUUAACACAUGCAAGUCGAACGGUGAAGGCGGAGCUUGCUCUGCUGGAUCAGUGGCGAACGGGUGAGUAACACGUGAGCAAUCUGCCCCUGACUCUGGGAUAAGAGCUGGAAACGGCGGCUAAUACUGGAUACGAGCUGCGAAGGCAUCUUCAGCAGCUGGAAAGAAUUUCGGUCAGGGAUGAGCUCGCGGCCUAUCAGCUUGUUGGUGAGGUAAUGGCUCACGAAGGCGUCGACGGGUAGCCGGCCUGAGAGGGUGACCGGCCACACUGGGACUGAGACACGGCCCAGACUCCUACGGGAGGCAGCAGUGGGGAAUAUUGCACAAUGGGCGAAAGCCUGAUGCAGCAACGCCGCGUGAGGGACGACGGCCUUCGGGUUGUAAACCUCUUUUAGCAGGGAAGAAGCGAAAGUGACGGUACCUGCAGAAAAAGCGCCGGCUAACUACGUG
This 468-nucleotide ribosomal RNA is filed under the name uncultured bacterium. Its description in RNAcentral is "partial 16S ribosomal RNA". It matches the Rfam family "Bacterial small subunit ribosomal RNA", at positions 28 to 507 of the family's 1533-position model. The record is from RNAcentral.